AACAUUUUGGUGGUGUCGGUUGGAAAACCCAAAGAAAGUGUCACUGUUUGCUGAAAGCUAGUGAUUGUACGUUAAAAUAGGGAACUACUUUGUAUGCGGCACGCGGAGUAGUACAGUAGCGAACUACAGUAGCGCGAGAUAAAAGACUCGAACAAGGGCGUAGGCAACGGGAGUUGCGAGAAGAUGGAGGACUGCGGAUGUGCGGGCGCGAAUUGUGCGGCGAUGAAGUGUGGAAUACUGAGAUGGCAGAAGGAUGGUGUUGGUUGAAGGUUCAGAUGGUUUUCUCAAGUCAGGUCUGUAUUAAUUAGAGUAAUGUAAAUUAACCUUAACUUGUGAUGAAACUCACUUGUUUUGUAAAAGAAAAUUGAUUAAAACAUAGUACUAGAUCAUAUGUAAGACAACUGUAUUCGGGAAAUAAACAAGAAAAAUUUGAUCAA
Molecule: long non-coding RNA, 437 nt
Organism: Schistocerca serialis cubense
Lineage: Eukaryota; Metazoa; Arthropoda; Insecta; Orthoptera; Acrididae
Exons: 2
Source: RefSeq, a predicted model, not a curated record